GUAACGUAAAGCUCUAUCAGCAGGGAAGAAAAUGACGGUACCUGACUAAGAAGCCCCGGCUAACUACGUGCCAGCAGCCGCGGUAAUACGUAGGGGGCAAGCGUUAUCCGGAUUUACUGGGUGUAAAGGGAGCGUAGACGGCACAGCAAGUCUGAUGUGAAAGCCCGGGGCCCAACCCCGGAACUGCAUUGGAAACUGCUGGGCUUGAGUGCAGGAGAGGUAAGCGGAAUUCCUAGUGUAGCGGUGAAAUGCGUAGAUAUUAGGAGGAACACCAGUGGCGAAGGCGGCUUACUGGACUGUAACUGACGUUGAGGCUCGAAAGCGUGGGGAGCAAACAGGAUUAGAUACCCUGGUAGUCCACGCCGUAAA
This 369-nucleotide ribosomal RNA is filed under the name uncultured bacterium. RNAcentral's name for it is "bacterial SSU rRNA". It matches the Rfam family "Bacterial small subunit ribosomal RNA", at positions 420 to 806 of the family's 1533-position model. The record is from RNAcentral.